Molecule: ribosomal RNA, 486 nt
Filed under: uncultured bacterium
Lineage: Bacteria
Description: SSU rRNA
Rfam family: Bacterial small subunit ribosomal RNA
Source: RNAcentral
AGGACGAACGCUGGCGGCGUGCUUAACACAUGCAAGUCGGACGGUGAUCUUGGGGGCUUGCCCCUGGGUGAUCAGUGGCGAACGGGUGAGUAACACGUGAGUAACCUGCCCUUCACUCUGGGAUAACUCCGGGAAACCGGGGCUAAUACUGGAUAUGACCUGCUCGGGCAUCCGAAGUGGGUGGAAAGAUUUAUUGGUGGGGGAUGGACUCGCGGCCUAUCAGCUUGUUGGUGAGGUAAUGGCUCACCAAGGCGACGACGGGUAGCCGGCCUGAGAGGGCGAUCGGCCACACUGGGACUGAGACACGGCCCAGACUCCUACGGGAGGCAGCAGUGGGGGAAUAUUGCACAAUGGGCGAAAGCCUGAUGCAGCGACGCGCGUGAGGGAUGAAGGCCUUCGGGUUGUAAACCUCUUUCAGCAGGGAGAAGCGAAGUGACGGUACCUGCAGAAGAAGCACCGGCUAACUACGCGCCAGCGAGCCGCGGU